UAGAUACCCCAGUAUACUUUUUCUUAAAAUUUAAAGCUAGAUUAUUAGUAGUUAGAUUCUUGAAAAUCAAAGAAUUUGGCGGUAUCUUAAUCUUAUUAGAGGAACCUGUUUCAUAAACGAUACACCACGAAGAAUCUUAUUUGCCUUAAGUAGUUUGUAUACCGUCAUUAUUAGAUAAUUUUGGGAAAAUUAAUUAUUGUAAUUAGUAUUUUUAUAAGUAUAUUAGAUCAAGGUGCAGCUUAUAGGUAAGAGAAAAUGGGUUACAUUAAAUUAAUUUAGACGAAAGCAAAACUUUUAACAAGUUGCCCAAGGCGGAUUUAAUUGUAUGCCUAAUUUAAUAUGUUAGGUAGAAAUUGGCGCUAAGAUAUGUACAUAUCGGC
This 380-nucleotide ribosomal RNA is filed under the name Paguristes triangulatus. RNAcentral's name for it is "partial small subunit ribosomal RNA". The record is from RNAcentral. Lineage: Eukaryota; Metazoa; Arthropoda; Malacostraca; Decapoda; Diogenidae.